GACGAACGCUGGCGGCGUGCCUAAUACAUGCAAGUCGAGCGAGCUUGCCUAGAUGAAUUUGGUGCUUGCACCAGAUGAAACUAGAUACAAGCGAGGGCGGACGGGUGAGUAACACGUGGGUAACCUGCCCAAGAGACUGGGAUAACACCUGGAAACAGAUGCUAAUACCGGAUAACAACACUAGACGCAUGUCUAGAGUUUAAAAGAUGGUUCUGCUAUCACUCUUGGAUGGACCUGCGGUGCAUUAGCUAGUUGGUAAGGCAACGGCUUACCAAGGCAAUGAUGCAUAGCCGAGUUGAGAGACUGAUCGGCCACAUUGGGACUGAGACACGGCCCAAACUCCUACGGGAGGCAGCAGUAGGGAAUCUUCCACAAUGGACGCAAGUCUGAUGGAGCAACGCCGCGUGAGUGAAGAAGGGUUUCGGCUCGUAAAGCUCUGUUGGUAGUGAAGAAAGAUAGAGGUAGUAACUGGCCUUUAUUUGACGGUAAUUACUUAGAAAGUCACGGCUAACUACGU
This 517-nucleotide ribosomal RNA is filed under the name uncultured bacterium. RNAcentral's name for it is "partial 16S ribosomal RNA". It matches the Rfam family "Bacterial small subunit ribosomal RNA", at positions 28 to 506 of the family's 1533-position model. The record is from RNAcentral.